RNAcentral lists this unclassified non-coding RNA (215 nucleotides) under Hevea brasiliensis (rubber tree). The record is from RNAcentral. Lineage: Eukaryota; Viridiplantae; Streptophyta; Magnoliopsida; Malpighiales; Euphorbiaceae.
GAGAAUUCUUCAAUCUCUAAAAGCUUUUUCUCUUCUUCUCACUUUUCCAGUCUUGUUUGUCUACAGAGAGGGAGAGGGAGAGGCAUUGUCCCCUCAAUUUCCCACAAAAAAAAUGUCUCUUCGACCCAGCAAUCGAACUGAAGUUCGCAAGAAAUCUUACAAAAUUGGGGUUGAUGCAGAUGAAGCUCGUAGAAGGAGAGAGGACAAUUUGGUUG